CCUACGGGUGGCAGCAGUGGGGAAUAUUGGGCAAUGGGCGCAAGCCUGACCCAGCAACGCCGCGUGAAGGAAGAAGGCUUUCGGGUUGUAAACUUCUUUUGUCAGGGACGAAGCACGUGACGGUACCUGACGAAUAAGCCACGGCUAACUACGUGCCAGCAGCCGCGGUAAUACGGCGGUGGCAAGCGUUAUCCGGAUUUACUGGGUGUAAGGGGCGUGUACGCGGGACUGCAAGUCAGAUGUGAAAACCACGGGCUCAACCUGUGGCCUGCAUUUGAAACUGUAGUUCUUGAGUACUGGAGAGGCAGACGGAAUUCCUAGUGUAGCGGUGAAAUGCGUAGAUAUUAGGAGGAACACCAGUGGCGAAGGCGGUCUGCUGGACAGCAACUGACGCUGAGGCGCGAAAGCGUGGGGAGCAAACAGGAUUAGAUACCCUUGUAGUC
Molecule: ribosomal RNA, 443 nt
Filed under: uncultured bacterium
Lineage: Bacteria
Description: partial 16S ribosomal RNA
Rfam family: Bacterial small subunit ribosomal RNA
Source: RNAcentral